This 523-nucleotide ribosomal RNA is filed under the name uncultured bacterium. RNAcentral's name for it is "bacterial SSU rRNA". It matches the Rfam family "Bacterial small subunit ribosomal RNA", at positions 24 to 518 of the family's 1533-position model. The record is from RNAcentral.
UCAGGACGAACGCUGGCGGCGUGCCUAAUACAUGCAAGUCGAACGGCCUUCUAUGGAAGCUUGCUUCCACUGAGAAGAUAGUGGCGAACGGGUGAGUAACACGUGGGUAACCCUGCCCAUAAGAGGGGGGAGUAACAUCCGGAAACGGGUGCUAAUACCGCAUAGUUUUCUUGAUCGCAUGAUCGGGAAAGGAAAGACGGCCUUUGUGCUGUCGCUUAUGGAUGGACCCGCGGCGUAUUAGUUAGUUGGUGAGGUAACGGCUCACCAAGACGAUGAUACGUAGCCGACCUGAGAGGGUGAUCGGCCACAUUGGGACUGAGACACGGCCCAAACUCCUACGGGAGGCAGCAGUAGGGAAUCUUCCGCAAUGGACGAAAGUCUGACGGAGCAACGCCGCGUGAGUGAAGAAAGGUUUUCGGAUCGUAAAACUCUGUUGUCAGAGAAGAACAAGUUGGAGAGUAACUGCUCCAGCCUUGACGGUAUCUGACCAGAAAGCCACGGCUAACUACGUGCCAGCCGCAGC